UAUAACUGUAUUAACCGUAUACAUGUAUAAUAACAGUAUAGUACAGAUAAAACGUUGAACCACGUGAUCACGUGUAAUACGUAAACGUGCCAUCGACGUCACGUGCUAAUGUAUGUAUACAGCACGUGUAAGAUAUUUUGAGUUCGCUUAACCACAGUCAGCUGUUUAUGUCAGAAAAGUGACAGCUGUGGAAACCAGCAGCCGAACAACUCGUUGGGUAAGAGAGAAAUUAUCUUAUUGGAUCUAGAAAAGAUGAGAUACAAGUCGGUAGAGCGAAAAUAACCGAGGGUAACGACGGCUGGCAACUAUAUAGGUAUAAUAUUUUAUGCGCGCAAACAUCACCCGACGGUCUGUAAAGAGAGAGAACGUGCCUGAAUUGUACGGAAAGAACCAGAACAUUCUAGAACGUUUACCGCUUGCAGAUUCGCAACGACCGAAGUUGCGUGUGGCGUGCGUUGGAUAAGAGGUUUUCAGAAGCAAAAAAAUUGUGACAUUGAAGUUUGGAUGGAGAAGAAGAUUCCAGAGGUUUUCCGUGUCGCCGAAAAGCUUUAUGCACGUCAGGCUACAAGUCACUCGAUGGUCAGUUCCAAGUUCAUUGCUCUAUUUUAUUUUUCUUCUUUUUCUUUCUCCCUUUACUAUUUACAGGUGUAAGCCAGCGAGUUAAGAUGCAGAAAGAGUGGCUAUAAAUAGCUAUCCGAGUCGAUGCCACUUUAAGGCUGUAUAGAAAGUCAGUGUCGAAUGUUCUCGAAUGAUUCUCAGGUGUCUAUAAAUAAAUAAGGUUUCUGAGGCUAAACUGCCUUUGAAUCGGCUUUACAGAAUUAGGAACAAUAAUUCGGCGGCGUUUGCCUGCUCGCUUCUGCCAAUCGGCAAAAUCUUAAUUCGAAAUUAUUCGUUCGUAUUUCCCUGAGCGUUUCCGUGACGGAUCCGCGACCACGAGAUCCUUUUAUUACACAUCCCCCUCCAAGGGCCUGCAUACAGAAGCCAAGGAAAACCAGGAUGGACAGGGCUUGGUAAACCGGUAUAAAACUUAUCCGAGGGAUCUUGCAAGGCAAAGGGCGGAUACAUACGGACGAGCGAUCGCAACUGCAAAUGUGGCGAAUGGUCGUGAUUUUCCAGCAUCGUUCUAAACUCGAAAUUAGUGCUUGCAAUGGUUCGUGAAAUUUUCCGUUCAUUCGCAGUAAUCAAAAAAGUUAUUCAACAUAUUCACCUAAUAUUUGCAGUUUUUCUCUACGAUACGAUCGUGGCGGCGAGUUUAUCAAUUAGAAAAUCUAUAAAACAAAGGAAAAGUUUUUAUCGUACAUACUAUGUACAAUUUACAUGGAAAUGAGCGAAGGUUGGCAAAAUCAAGGAGAGUCCUUCACGCAACGGAGCAUGUAGAUUACAAAUUGACCUACAAUCGCGAUUCAAACGUAUGAACACCCGUACUCAUGAAUUUGCGUGGCCCGGGCUGUAACGAAGUUC
Molecule: long non-coding RNA, 1461 nt
Filed under: Neodiprion lecontei (redheaded pine sawfly)
Lineage: Eukaryota; Metazoa; Arthropoda; Insecta; Hymenoptera; Diprionidae
Description: uncharacterized LOC124294192, transcript variant X1
Source: RNAcentral